GAUGAACGCUGGCGGCGUGCCUAAUACAUGCAAGUCGAGCGAACAGAUAAGGAGCUUGCUCCUUUGACGUUAGCGGCGGACGGGUGAGUAACACGUGGGUAACCUACCUAUAAGACUGGAAUAACUCCGGGAAACCGGGGCUAAUGCCGGAUAACAUUUAGAACCGCAUGGUUCUAAAGUGAAAGAUGGUUUUGCUAUCACUUAUAGAUGGACCCGCGCCGUAUUAGCUAGUUGGUAAGGUAACGGCUUACCAAGGCAACGAUACGUAGCCGACCUGAGAGGGUGAUCGGCCACACUGGAACUGAGACGCGGUCCAGACUCCUACGGGAGGCAGCAGUAGGGAAUCUUCCGCAAUGGGCGAAAGCCUGACGGAGCAACGCCGCGUGAGUGAUGAAGGUCUUCGGAUCGUAAAACUCUGUUAUUAGGGAAGAACAAAUGUGUAAGUAACUGUGCACGCCUUGACGGUACCUAAUCAGAAAGCCACGGCUAACUACGUG
This 497-nucleotide ribosomal RNA is filed under the name uncultured bacterium. Its description in RNAcentral is "partial 16S ribosomal RNA". It matches the Rfam family "Bacterial small subunit ribosomal RNA", at positions 28 to 507 of the family's 1533-position model. The record is from RNAcentral.